This 335-nucleotide unclassified non-coding RNA is filed under the name soil metagenome. Its description in RNAcentral is "partial contains 5.8S ribosomal RNA, internal transcribed spacer 2, and large subunit ribosomal RNA". The stretch from base 1 to 120 matches the Rfam family "5.8S ribosomal RNA", at positions 35 to 154 of the family's 154-position model. The record is from RNAcentral.
GAUGAAGAACGCAGCGAAAUGCGAUAAGUAGUGUGAAUUGCAGAAUUCAGUGAAUCAUCGAAUCUUUGAACGCACAUUGCGCCCCUUGGUAUUCCAUGGGGCAUGCCUGUUCGAGCGUCAUUUGUACCCUCAAGCUCUGCUUGGUGUUGGGCGUUUGUUCCGCUGUGCGCGUGAACUCGCCUUAAAUUAAUUGGCAGCCGGCAAUCUGGUGUUUGAGCGCAGCACAUUUUGCGCUCUUCGCUGUAUUGCGGCGUCCAUAAAGCCUAUAUUUAUGCGCUUGACCUCGGAUCAGGUAGGGAUACCCGCUGAACUUAAGCAUAUCAAUAAGCGGAGGA